This 440-nucleotide ribosomal RNA is filed under the name uncultured bacterium. RNAcentral's name for it is "partial 16S ribosomal RNA". It matches the Rfam family "Bacterial small subunit ribosomal RNA", at positions 338 to 795 of the family's 1533-position model. The record is from RNAcentral.
GCUACGGGAGGCUGCAGUGGGGGAUAUUGCACAAUGGAGGGAACUCUGAUGCAGCGACGCCGCGUGAGGGAAGAAGGUUUUCGGAUUGUAAACCUCUGUCUUCGGUGACGAAACGAGACGGUAGCCGAGGAGGAAGCCACGGCUAACUUCCUGCCAGCACCCGCGGUAAUACGGAGGUGGCACGCGUUGUCCGGAAUUACUGGGUGUAAAGGGUGCGUAGGCGGGAUAGCUAGUUUAAUGUUUAAGGUACGGGCUCAACCGUUACCAGCGUUACAAACUGUUUUUCUUGAGUGGAGUAUAGGUAAGCGGAAUGCCUAGUGUAGCGGGGAAAUGCGGAAAGAUUAGGAGGAACACCAGUGGCGAAGGCGGCUUACUGGGGUUUAACUGACGCUGAGGCUCGAAAGCGUGGGUAGCAAACAGGAUUAGAUACCCCGGUAGUC